AUAAUUAAAACAUAGCUUUCCCGGUUUUUGGACUAAGAUCAAGUGAAGUAUGGUGAGUUUUAACCUGCACGUGGUCAAAUGAGGUUAAUGGAGAACCUUUUACCUCUGAUACAGGUUGUUCCAAGCAUAGGAAUGGCAUCCUCCUCUGUAUGUUCUAGAACUGAUUAUCGAAGAUAAUAAAUUGAUCCACUAAAGAAGACAAAUCCAACUUUCAAGCCAAAAUUGUAAAGUUAGGAUUAUUGUGAAAAGGGAUAAGAAGAUGGAAUAUGUGUUAACCUUUGUGAAUAUCCAACACAACCAUGCUAUUAGUCCUAGCAUGACAAAGACCCUGAGAAAGAAUAGGGAACUAAGCUUGCAUGCCAAACGGAUAGCUGAGAUCAAUGACCAAGCUGGUGUUACAAUGAGAAACACCACAAUUAUAUAUUUUAAGUUAAUUAUAUAUACUUUGGUUUUUGCAUGUGUUUGAUGGAUAGGGAUAGGUAGAAUAGAAUGAAUUUGCUGCUGCUGUGCAUAAUAUAUUGAGUUUGAUUAUGUACUCUUGUUUUUGCAUAUGUUUGAUGUAUAGGGAUAGGUAGAAUAGAAUAAAUUUGCUACUACUGCUCUGCAUGAUAUACUAAGUUUGAUUGUUUGAUUUAGUCAGUUUGAUUAUGUUCUCUUGUUUUUAUUAUAGGUAUGAUAUGCCUUUUGUCUCAUUUGUUGGGGUUAACCACCAUGGCCAAUCAUUGCUACUUGGUUGCGCUCUUCUUUCAUGCGAAGAAGAGAGUUCCUUUGUUUGGUUAUUUGAUUGUUGGAUACGAUGUAUGGGUGGCAAGCUGCCUAUUGGCAUAUUGACGGAUCAAUGCAAAGUUUUGCGGAAUGUCAUUGAAAAAUCAUUGCCAAUGACACAAUAUCGAUGGUGUAUUUGGCAUAUCAUGAAGAAAAUUUCAGCAAAAAUAGGAGCAUGCAAGCAAUUUAACGAGAUUAGUGCUGACAUUACACAUAUUGUGUGGGAUUCUAGAUCUAAGGAAGCAUUUGAGAGCUCUUGGAUUGAUUUUAUCAACAGAUUCAGUUUGCAUGAUAAUAAUUGGUUAGCAGGUUUGUACGAAGAACGUGACAGGUGGGUCCUUAUUUUUCUUAGUAACAGUUUUUGGGUAGGCAUGCGUAUCACUCAAAUGAGUGAAAGCAUGCAUGCAUUUAUGAAGGGCUACCUAACCUCAAAGAGCAACUUGCAACAAUUUGUAACACAAUAUGACAACCGUCUUGCAAAUAAAGCUCAACAAGAAUAUGAAUUGGAUGUUGCCAGUUUCAAUACCAUUAUCCCUUGUGCAACUGCCUCUGCUAUUGAAAAACAGUUUCGGUUGUGCUAAACAUGCAUACCACAUUCAGCCACUAUUUUCAGCCACUGUAUUUAUAUAUGUAUACAAUACAAAAUACAAAAUUCAAAAAUUAAAAAUAAAAACCCCACUCUCAACCUUACUUUCACGCUCUGAAACAAUGUUCUUCUUUCUCCUUCCCUUACUCUCACUUUCACUCUCCGACGCGACUCCUUCCUCAUCCUCAUUCUCAACGGUGAUUCUCCUUCCCUUUCUCUGCGGCGGCACGAUUCUCCUUCCCUCUCUCUCCAGUGGCACGAUUCUCCUUUGCUCUCUUUCAGGCACGGUUGCGAUUCUCCUACCUCUGUCUCAGGCGUGGUGCUCUCUGUCUCAAGAACGAAUUUUAUCGACGGCAUUUUCCUUGUUUGAUUCUGCAAGUUGUUUAAUUUUCUAGUUUUGAAAUAUGCAAGAGAAGACUGCACCAAAACGAGUAGAAAGAGAACCAGAAAACAGGGACACCAAAGAAAAUAAAAGAAAAAAUGUAUCCAAAGAAACUUUGAAGAAGAUGGAGUGGAGAAAGGUGACUUACUCAAGGAGGUAACUAAAGAGCAUGAGCCCAUGCUUUUAGAGUUCAAGAAAAAAAGUCCAAAUGCUUUGAGACAAAUCAUAUUAGAAAAUCCAAGAGGGGGUCCCAGAUUUAGGAGAGCUUUCUUGUUGUAUACAUUUAUAACAUUUUUGUUACUAAUAAAUACAAAAAUAGCUCGGGAUAAAAUUUUUCUAUUUGUAAUUGAUGUUGAUAAUCCAAUGAAGUACAAUUAGAUUAGAUGCAUUGUUGAUGGCCUUGCUGAUAGAGUUAACAACUUUAAAGAAGAAGUGGUGUCAAGUUUGAAUGGGUGCAUAUAUGUGCUUCAGAUUUUAUACUUCCAUAAGCAAAAAUAUGGACCCUUUGAUUUUGAGAAAGAAGCACAACCGCCUUGGCUUCCCCAUUGGAUAAAGGAACUCAUUUCUGCCCAAAUAGCAUUAGAAAGAAAAAGUUCAUCGGGGCUGGUUAGGUCAAAAGAAGAGCAACUUGUGCCUAAACAGCCAGUUCGACCAAAGAAAAGCGUUGUGAAAGAGGCCACCAAAGUGGAAAAAGAGUAAAGUGAAAAGAAAAAAGUGGUAGACAGCCCUAAGAAGGAUAAAAAAGAAUUGAGGUAAGAAGAUUCUACAAAACCAACCAAAGUGAAAAGACAACAAAAUGGAAAGAGAAAAAUAGUAGACAGUCCUAAUAAGGACAAAAAAGAAUUGAGGCAAGAAGACUCUACAAAUCAAAGAGAGAAAAGAAGCAAGAAGGAGGAGCAAACACAAGUUCCAAUGAAAACCGGAAUGAAAAGAAAACACACUCACCAUCAAUUCCUACCUUCGACCUUGGAGUUGAAUUUCCUCCAACACCUCCAGCACCUCCAACACCUCUAACAGCUACGACCUUGGAUUCAAUUGAUGUUCCAACCCAGCAAGUGUUGGGUUCAAAGAUAACAUGCCUAAAUCAAACAACAGAUGUACCAAUAGAGGUGUCAGAACCAAUUGUUAAGGAAUUAGUAUUGGAUGCUAAUAUGACUGAAAAAUUAUACGAGUGGGUGAUGGACGAAAGGAAAGAUGAAGAGAAGAUUGUGGCAACAUUUAAUGGCCAGCACAAUGUCUUCCUUAAAAGGACUAAUGCGCAAAGAUUAAAGCCACGAAAUGAUAUAGAUAAUUGGGUUAGUAACACAAUAUUUUGUUUAGUAUAAAGUAUUUAUUUUAUUCUUGAACUAUUUGAUUAUUAAUUGUUUGCUUUGCUUGUAUCAAGGUGGUCAACUAUUAUUGAUGCAUGCUUAAUGAAUUACCACAAACAAGAUUCAAGAAAGAUAUAUAUUACAUGAAUUCAGACUCAACGGUAAAAAAUUUUAUUAUGUAUCUCUUCGUUUUUUUAUUUGACAGAUUUUAUUCUAUUCUAAUUUAUCAUCAAUUUGAUUUUAAUUGCGGUUAUUGAGUUUUUAUAAAGAUGCGCAAAGUGGGAAGAGCAUUACAUCAGUUGACAUAUCUAGGAUCCCUAAUUUUAUGAAAAUUAGGAUGCGAGGAAGAAAACUUAUUUUCUUACCUUUUUGCCAUAACCGUCAUUGGUGGUUAUAUGCAUUAGAUGUUUGUAAUAACAUGUUUUACGUCCUCGACCCAUUGUACACAUCUUAGACUGCUGAACGGAAUGAAAUAGAUCAAUAUGUUGUAAGUUUAUUUUGUUAUAACAACUUUUAUUUAGGUCUUGAUAUUUGAUUAUCAUAUAAUUUUGACAAUUUCAUGACAUUUUUUAACAAGCAAGUUAUCUUGACAACAUGUUAGGAAUUGUGGAUCCUGCAUAUGUUCAAACUCCAUCAACUCCAACAAUUGAAUAUCUAAACGUACCCAAACAACCAAAUUUGCAUGAUUGUGGUUUGUUUGUAAUGAAAUUGAUGGAAUCAUGGCAUGGCUUUAGAUGGUUCCCACAAUUCCAUUCAUUUCAUUACAAACAAACCACAAUCAUGCAAAUUUGGUUGUUUGGGUAUGUCCAGAUAUUCAAUUGGUGGAGUUGAGGGAGUUUGAACAUAUGCAAGAUCCGCAAUUCCUAACAUGUUGUCAAGAUAACUUGCCUGUUAAAAAAUGUUAUGAAAUUGUCAAAGUUAUAUGAUAAUCAAGACCUAAAUAAAAGUUGUUAUAACAAAAUAAAUUACAACAUAUUGAUCUAUUUCAUCCCGUUCAGCAGUCUAAGAUGUGUACAACGGGUCGAGGACGUAAAACUUGUUAUUACAAACAUCUAAUGCAUAUAACAACCAAUUACGAUUAUGGCAAAAAGGUAAGAAAAUAAUUUUUCUUCCUCGCAUCCUAAUUUUAUCAAAAUUAGGGAUCCUAGAUAUGUCAGCUAAUGUAGAGCCCUUCCCACCUUGCCUAUCUUUAUAAAAACUCAACAACUGCAAUUAGAAUCAAAUUGAUCAUAAAUUAGAAUAGAACAAAAUCUGUCAAAUAAAAAAA
Non-coding RNA from Arachis ipaensis, 4310 nucleotides. Lineage: Eukaryota; Viridiplantae; Streptophyta; Magnoliopsida; Fabales; Fabaceae. The record is from RefSeq and is a predicted model, not a curated record.